Molecule: long non-coding RNA, 2656 nt
Filed under: Zostera marina
Lineage: Eukaryota; Viridiplantae; Streptophyta; Magnoliopsida; Alismatales; Zosteraceae
Description: long non-coding RNA (ZMAR_LNC000099)
Source: RNAcentral
UCUCCUUAUUUACACUAUAAAAAAGGAUCUGAUGUAAGUUGAAGAAUCACCGCAAUCGACCUCUCCAUCUCCGAAACCAUGGUGCCAGACUUGGUCACCAUAUCCUCUCAACUGUUUUUCAAAGGUAAGAUGUAUAACUGUAUAGAAAUAUCUAAUUUGCCUUGUCGCUCAUCGUCAAUCUAAUUCGAUAAUUAUUUUAUAUAUGCUCGCGACAUAGUCUUUUGAAUCUUCUAAAGCAAAUUCUCGGGGCUAGAUUUGAUUAAAGGGUCACUGAUUUUAGUCGUGGGUAAAUGUCUGUUUUCUUAGUUGCGACGAUUUGAGACACCUUACAUCUCUUCACGAUGACUAUACAUGAGAUUAGACAUAUCCUCUAUCUCAGGUGAAGUGACCAAGGUCGAGGUUAUGUCCAAUCUAAUGUAUGGCCACUGUGAAGAGAUAAAGGUGUCUUUAGUCACAUAGAUAAGAGGAUUCUGGAGCAAUGCUAUUCAAAUAAUCAAAUUAUUUGAAGCGAUGGUUCGUCAAAUGACGUUUUUACAACAAUAUAAUACGGCAAUACUCGCUCAGAAUCCUAACUUGCGCUUACCAAAAUUUCCCCCAAUCUUCAAUGACACUACGACGCAACCCGCAGGAGGGUUCAACAUAAAUUUUUCUGAAGCGUCGACUUCUAGAGCACCGCAAGUACAACUGCACGAAACUCUGCCUCUUCAACAAACAAUGCCACAACAGGAGUACACUACUCCACCACCGCGCGGAGGAAGAUCGAUUAUUUUCUCACAAGCGGCAUUACGAAAGGCGGUCGCGUCUAAACCUAAAAAGAAAAACAGAAAAUAGAAUAGUGAUUACCGAAUUUCUUUUCUGUCGUACUUUCAUUAUCGAAAAUCAAUUUCAAUUUCAUUUCAUUAUUUCAAUAAAUUAAUAUUUUCAAAAUAAAAAUUUAAAAAUUAUUCAAAAAAUAUCCAGCGGCUUGGCCGUCAGAAAUUUUUUCCCGGAGAAAUUUUUUUUUCUGCCAGAAAAUAUUGACCAGCGUCUAGGCUGCCAGGGAUUUUUUUCCCAAUUUUACACUACCACCAUCGGCCAGGCCGCCGGAAUAUAAUUUCAAAAAAAAAAUAUAAACGGCCAAGCCGCCAGUACUAUUUCCGUUAAAAUCGGAAUCCACAAUUUACUAGGCCGCCGGUAUAUUUAUUACAAAGCUGACGACAUUAGUUCCGACGAUGGAAUACCGUCGGCUUGGCCGCCAUGACACAUUUUACCGACGACCAGGCCGCCAGCAUUUGCCGCCAGAAUAAUGCUGGUUUUUUGUAGUGAAAUAUGCUUAUUUUUAAUCAUUAAUUAUUUUUUGUACGUUGUUUUUAAUAAAAUUAUUAAAGAUUGUAAAUGAGAUUGAUGAUUGCUGAAUGAUGAUGUUACAUGAUAUGUAAGUAAAUAAAAAUUAAAGUACAUACAUGAUGAUGCAAAGUCGAUAAGAUGACCGUUACAGUCGAACACAAUUUUCUCUUUCUCACUCCUGUCUACCUCGAGGUAGGUAGUAUUAAUAGUGUCGUUGCCCUACAUCAGGUCGAGCGGUGCUUCUGGGUUUAUGCCUUGGACCGGACCUGGGCCGAGGUCGGGUCGGAUUCGGGCCAAGAUUCAGACCGGACCCUAGUCGGGUUCGAGUCGUGGUCUGGGCCUGAUUACUGUUGUUAUUCUUGGACUGCUAUUAGUGAGUCGAAUCAAUAUACUAAGAUUCGAACUCUAAACAUCUAGUCACCUUAUUUAUACAUAGACUAUGAUUCAAACUAAUUGAUAGUAACGGUUGAAAUAAAUAAAACUAUAAGAAAACGUAUUUAUAAUUGAAAGUAUAGUAAAACAUUAAUGUUAUAUGGAAAUUAAUAAAAAUUUAGUUUGUAAAUGGUAUAACUGUAUUCGUAUCUGUUUUCGAAUUCGAAUAUGUCUGGUAUACCAAAAAUGAUAUCCGAAAAUUAUCUGGACGAAUUCGGAUAUCUACAAUAUCCGUCGUUAAAAUCCGAAUUCGCAUUCGGAUUUUUUAAGCCUUUUAUUUUAUUUUGUGAUUUUUUAAGGUUUUUAUAAAAAGUUAUCUGGAUUCUGGUUUUUCGGAUAUCCGAAAAUUUAUCCGAAUUCGGAUUCGGUUUUUCCUAUCCGGUUAUUAUUCGGACAGAUUCGGAUUAUCUAGAUUCAGAUACCAGAGUAUCUGAGCCGAAUCUGACUGAUAUACAGGCCAAAUGAAAUUUACGGCACACUUCAGGUACGCGAAAUUAAUUUAAUCCCUUCUUAUAAUUUGACUAACAUCUUUUUUAAAUAAAGGUAAAAGAAUGAAUAAAAAAACAUUCAAUUGUUGUUGGCGGUGGGGUGAAUAAAUGUUGUUAGUAGCAGUGCACUAGAUUAUAAUGUAAUAAAUGUUAAAUUUUUUGAAAUAUAUUACUUUUUCAGGAAUGGAUAAGUAAGAAAUUGUAAGGUAUUGAUGAAAUUCACUGUGGUACGUACGUAGUCUUAACGUUGAGGAGAUUUGAUGAAAUUCAUUGUCAGAUUCAGAUAUAUACGGUUGAUGAGACACGAUUUAAUGACACAUUCAAGGUAGGCACACCUAAAUAACAUUGCUCAUCAAAUAUAUCUUUGAUAUAAUGAUUGAUUUUCGUACUGUGUACUUCAUAUACUUUCU